GACUGUUUAGAUAAUGACGUGUAAGAGAAUCACAGUGGAGAUCAACCCUGAAAAAAGCGUCCAAACUGAAGAAGAAUCUGACACAGCUGUCCCUGUUAGUGUUCCCAUAGCGGUAGUACUGCUUAUACUGGCUGUUAUCCUGCUUCUAAUCCUACUGAUCAGAAGACAACAUCGGACACGCACGGACACUGAUUUACCGGCUGAGAAACCUAUGCUACAGAAUGUGUGAAGUGCUCUUGCUUGACAGUUUAAUGGACUUACUUCUAUGUUGUAAUGCAAGGUCCUUCACAACAACAACAAUGGACAAUAAGAGGCCUUAGCCCUAAACAAAUGCGUUCGCAUGUGGGCAUUACACAAUGGUGCGUGCUGAUCCGUCUCACUUUGAGACAGAUUAAUGUUCAGUUUUCAGUUGUAACACUGUUACUUGUUUACCACUGAAUUGUGAAUACACUGCGGAUAUACAUUCAGUAGGCAUUACAGUUUUGUAAUUUGACAAGAUUCUCCUUGUAGGAACUGUCUUUAUUCAUUCUUUGAAGAACAGAUGUGAGGGGUAGGGGACAUGCAGUUUGUAUUUUGCCUUUUCCUCUCUCUUUGAGACAAACUGGUGGUCUCAAUCCUAAACAAGCUUUCCAAAUAAUUUUAUUUUAUUGUUCAUAUGUGUACAGCAAUCAUUUACUAAGCACUCAUCAUGCAAGCUUCUUUACAUUUACUCUUGAAUUGGUUGUUUUACUCAGCCUGUGCUGAUUUCAUUUAUGUGGAAGAAAUAAUAUGGCACUCCCUAUGGGAUAUAUUUGCUUUUUUUACUGUACUAAAUUUCAUUUACUUUUAAAUGAAUUCUGUAAAGUGCUUCAAACCUGUCAAGGCAAUAAACCUUUUACAUAUACAGUU
Molecule: long non-coding RNA, 888 nt
Organism: Cyprinus carpio carpio
Lineage: Eukaryota; Metazoa; Chordata; Actinopteri; Cypriniformes; Cyprinidae
Source: Ensembl